Molecule: long non-coding RNA, 4745 nt
Organism: Triticum aestivum (bread wheat)
Lineage: Eukaryota; Viridiplantae; Streptophyta; Magnoliopsida; Poales; Poaceae
Exons: 9
Source: RefSeq, a predicted model, not a curated record
CCAGCGGGCCAAAAAGGCAGGCAGCGCGGGCAGGAGCGAGACCGCGCAGACCGCGUCUUCCCCACGAACCCUAGCCGCGUCCUCGCCUCCUCCUCCAUCCGCGCCGCCGCGUCCUCGUCUCCUCCUCCAUCCGCGCGCCUCGGCGGCGACCCCAUGGAGGGCGGCCGGGUCGGAGCAGUCCCCGCGUCCCUCCUUCCCCGCUCGGCGCUCUCUACUCCCAGCGCAGCUGCCGCCUCCCUCCACUCUUCCCAUCUCGCUAGAGCCGCCGCAUCCGGAGGCGACCGGCGUUGCUCCAUCUCGACCUGCCCGUAACCUUCUCUCCCCGCAGCGGGCGGAGAAGAUGGAGAUGAGCUCGUCCGCCCACCUUCCACCAUGGUUUGCAGCGGCCGGAGAAGAUGGAGAGGCCGAACUACGGCUGCCUCGUGUGCGCUCUCCUGCAUCUCGCGUGGGAGCGAGUGGUGGUGACUAGCAUAGAAGGUGGAGGAGGUCAUUGGGGCCGGCUUCCCUUCCGUUUUGGCUGCCAAGCUCCACGCGUUGGUGUUUGAUGAAAGUUCAGUAAGGCUGUGAGGGAAUACCAAACGAGAGAGGAUCCAGUAUCUGUUACAUGCAUCAGAUAUAGUUUGCAGUCAAGACACCUGCUCCCUCGUCAUCGACGAAAGGAGGAGAGCAGCAGCCACAACAGGCGACGGUGCUGGCGAAUGCGUCAGACAUGAGUCGCUUCGGCUUCUUCCAGCGGCCCAGCCAUGACGCCCUCAAGCCGCCGAUAGCAGCGGCCCUCUCCCAAGCUACACUGCUCCUGAUCUUCGUCGCCCCACACCGUCGUACUAUGCACAGCUCAGCCUGGCCAUGAUGCUCUUAGCCCGCGGUCGCUCACAGCGUAACCGACGGUGGCGACUCACUCCCAACCCGUGUUGCUCUCCAUCAGUGCUGACGAAUUAGUUUGUUUUACAGCGUGGGCACCAGGUCUCUGAGUAGUUUAAAUCUGAACGCAACACCAAGGCUGCCAGCCUGAGCAUUGCCGAACAGUACAGCAAAGCAUUUUCUGAACUUGCUAAAAGCAAACAUGGAAGCUCUCCCUAAUUCAUCGAUUAAAGGUGGCUCACAUAGAUCGUUCUCUUACUGACUAAUUAAUUAGAUUAUGGAUUUUCUUUAUGUUAUUAUUACUGAUCUCAGAUGCUUAGUUUCCAAGUUUAUCUCAAAACUUCACCUUCUAUGAAUGCCCCCAGGUGGUGCAUAUCUAAAAGCUCUUUGUGCAUUCUUAAGAUUUUUGUAUAUGCAUUUGCGUGAAUUGAGCCCGGAUCUGAUCUGGUUUGGCUAUGUUCAUGGUUUUCUUUGGUCAUGUAUGAGUGGAAAAGGGAGGCAGGGGAGUUCCAGUUUGUGAGGACAGUGGUGACAUGGUUGAUUGAAUGGCAAUAGGAAGAAGGCACAUCUCAUAUAAUUGUUUUAUUCAAGACAAGUCUACACUCUCUUAUGUCAAAUUUGCACAGAUUUCCCUGCCCUAGGCUAUUUCUAAGGGGGAGAGAAGAGUGUUAUUUUUUUGGGGGAAUACAAAGAAUGGUAGCGCAUGAGGAGUAUUAGCCACGGAGGAGGGAGGAGACUGACAUGAGGAAAACAUAUUCUGGAUCGAUUUGGUUCUCAUGGUGGCAUCUUCCCUGCUUUCUCCUUUCUUUUUAUUUCCAACACUCUUUGGUACAGAGCGGUUAACAAACAACUGAACUGAAUAUUGCUUUUUCUCCUUUUCAGAUAAGUUAGUUUACAUUAGUUUUCUGUUUGCUUUCUGUAUGGAUCUAUACAUGUUAUUUUUAUAUCUAGUUUUCUGGGUGCUUUUCAAAAAGGGGGAGACCCAUGGCCGAUAUAGUUGCAUUAAGGUGCAAUUUGAUAACUAAAUACAUAAUAUAAGUCCAUCAAAAUAUUACAUGCAUGUGUGCUGUUUGUGCUUGUAUACCUUCAAUCUGCUUUGUGGAAGGCUGUUUGUAUUAAACUUUAGUGCUCGGUUGUUCAUCAUAGUCCCAUUCCCUUGAUAAUUAAUAUUGAAGCAAUGAAAAAUAGGUGAAAUUGCAAGAAACUUGAAGAAGUGGAGGAACAUGACUCAGUCUGUCAUUGGGGACAUGUACUGUUACAGAUACACUCUGUAUUUCUACCUAUCAUUGGUGUGAUGUUUGAACAUUAAGUUGUCAUUUAAUUAUGGCAUUCCCUUCUGCUUUUGUUUAUGCUAUAACAAUAGCCGCAAACUAUCUUCGGGACGUAUGGCAGGUUUGCUGACAAUCUGAUUGCAUUGCAGGUUUGGUACUAAUUUCUCAAAAAAUCAUGCUUUUGCAGCACCGUCUUGUUGAGCCAUGAGAUCUGAACCAAGGAAUCCAGAUAACAUCGACUAUGUUUAUAGAUCACUACAUGUUCCGUUGGAACAUUGUGAGGUCCUUUUUCCAGUUUGCUACUAAAUUCUCAAAAAAGAAACGUUCUUAUGCAUCACCAUCAUGUGGAACCACGAUACCUGAACCAAUGAACUCAGUGAACAUUUAUUAUAUUUAUUAUGGAUCAUUACAUGUUCUGCUGGAACAAGGUUCCUUUUCAGUAACAAGUUGAACGCGCGUCAUGCUUUUUUGAAUAUAACUGAAUAUCUAAAAUAGCCAUGGUGUACUGCUGUAUAUAUUUUAAAAUGGCAAGCUUGCAUCUUGAUGUUUGAUUGCUAUGAACUUCCGUAUUAUAAAAUUACUAUAGAUCUCCUUUAAUUCUCCAAAAAGGACAAUUUGUUUGUUUGUUACGGUGCCAAUAGUAACAAAAGAUCAUGAUGAAGUUGAGUAUGUAGAAAUACUUUUUAAGGCGCCUCAUUAUUUGCUGCCAAUAACUGUUUUGCCCCAAUCUCUGGCUUUCCAAACAUAGCAUUGCUAUGCCUCCAACAUUCAUCGAUUGUCAAUUAUUCUCUUAUACAUGACAUUGAUGCCCUGUGUUUGGGUAAUAUGUAUAGAAUUAGUUCCGUUCUACAAGGACCGGAUAUUGUCACAUUGAUUAAGUAUAAUUUUUUCAAGCAUGCUAGAGUAUGGUGGCAUUUUAUAGGCCCUUGAGCUAUAAAAUUUUGCAUGCUCAGUUUCUUGAUCUGUAUUUGCCAUUUGAGCCAAAUUAUCUCAUCAGGGAUGCAUCAACAUACAAACUCACCCUUCAGUUUAUUUAUAACAUUUCUUUUUAUAUGGUGCAACAGCUUGAGAUAUAUGAAGAGAAUUUUUACAUGUCCAAUGCAGACUGUUUGUUUUCACUUUCUAAUCAAUGAAGUAUGUUUAAUUGAUAAAGUAAUUGUAAUUGAUGAAGUAGAUAUAGUUGUUGCAGCGGCACAAACUCGGUUGCGUCCGCUAUGACCCCAAUCUUCGGAUUAUUAUAAGUAGAGGUUGAUCGUGUAGGAGGUGAAGAUGCUCACGCCUAAAGCCAAACUUGACACCGUCGACGCCACCAUCCGGGAGCUCAUUUAUAUUGGCUUCAAAUGGCUACCGUUGUAUUUUCUGUACUUUUGGUUGUGGUCGUAAUUGUUACCCUAUGCCUUUGCAAGAAUAACUAAAAAUGGUGAUUUCUAUUGACUGGAAACCGAGUACUUGUCUAAUUAUUGUUCAAGAAAAUAUAGUGAGUCGUGUUCUUGGUUGCUAAUAGUAUAGUACACCUAUGCGGAUCCUUCUGUCGGACCGUUGAAUGGAAAUAACUCAAAAGAAGAUAAUAGAGAUGUUGUCUCUAUGCAAUCGGUAACUGUCAGUUCAGUUGCAAACAACGACCAUCACAAAUAACUUUGAGAUGUCCAUUGGUAAAGGUCAGAUUGGAGUAGUCUAUUUUGGCUACUUGGAAGAUGGAACCCCAGUUGCAGUCAAAACACGCUUAGAAUCAUCAUCUCAUGGGGUUAAUGAGUUCUUGGCAGAGGCUCUACAUCUAAUAAGAGUUCAUCACAGGAACUUGGUCAAUCUGGUUAGCCACUACAAGGAUGGACACCACUCAACUCUUGUCUACGAGUAUAAAUUGCUAAUUUGCAUUGCUCUUUCGUGCAACAAGUGCGUUGAUACUUACAAACAACAGGCAUGUGACUAUUUACUAUCGCUGUUGUUUGGUAUUCGAACAUGUCUUUUCGAGGGGGAGAUGGGAACAGAUAGACUCAGUGAAAGUUGGCUGCACGUAAACUAUUGUGAUCAAGUUGGAAAAAAAUGUUUCCCCUCUUAACUGCUCCUGUUGGAGACUGGGGUCAGUAGUCACUGAAAUUUGCACACGCAUGGAGGAAUGAAUGAUGAUUCUCAAGUAACGAAGUUGUAGCCUUCACGACAAGAUAAAUGGAUGAUUUUGCAGCUCAAGUGUUGCUACAUGUUACAGAUAACUAUGGCAUUCCAUUUUAAUGAAUCUGCAUAUUGCUGUUGAGCACCGGAAGCGAGGGAGGGCAUGGCUGCACUGGAGGUUGUCCCAAGGCGAGGGCAGGGAAGAGACAUGCAACAAUGAGGGUUGCAACCGUAAUCAAUAUCUCAACGUCAAAUCAUUUCCUAUAGCCUUCCAGCAAGUUCAUUCUUAUUUUCUGAUUGGGUCAUGUUAGGCCAGCAAAGUAAACCUAGAAAAACUGAUUAGGCAAUGAUGUUUUUGUUUAAUUUUAGUGUUUGGUGUUUGUUUCAGAUAUGAAUAAUUCUGGUUAUGGUUUCUGCAUUGCAUAGUGACGUUAUAAUGAGAUUAGAGAUAGUUGUCACGCAUCUCUUUUCACUACAAACACAUAUGCACUUGCUUUUCGAUCA